UAAAAUAAUUAAGGGCACACAAAGGAUGCCUAGGUAGUAAGAGCCGAUGAAGGACGUGGUAAGCUGCGAUAAGCCUAGAUAAGUUGCAAUCGAACGUAAGAGUCUAGGAUUUCCGAAUGGAGCAAUCUAUUAAGAUGGAGUCUUAAUACGAAAGAGGGAACCGCGUGAACUGAAACAUCUAAGUAACGCGAGGAAAAGAAAGUAAAAACGAUACCCAAAGUAGCGGCGAGCGAAAUGGGUCAAGCCUAAACCUUAAAUAUGUCAAGGAUACAGCCGUUGUAUUUAAGGGGUUGAGGGACAGAGUAGUGAAGAACUGUAAGAUAUUCAAUAUAGUGUAUUGAUGAAUUGGAAUUGUCUGGAAAGGCGAACCGUAGAAGGUGAAAGUCCUGUACAAGUAAAUCCUUACACAUAUAACUCUGCUCCCAAGUAACAUGGAACACGAGGAAUUCUGUGUGAAUCUGUGAGGACCAUAUCUCAUAAGGCUAAAUACUCUUACUAACCGAUAGCGCAUAGUACCGUGAGGGAAAGGUGAAAAGAACCCCUGGAGGGGAGUGAAAUAGAACCUGAAAUUGUGUGCUUACAAGCGGUCAGAGCCAGUGAUGGUGAUGGCGUGCCUUUUGGAGAAUGAUCCUGCGAGUUACGUUAAACGGCGAGGUUAAGUAUAACGGAGCCGAAGGGAAACCAAGUCUUAAUAGGGCGAUUUAGUCGUUUGGCGUAGACGCGAAACCUGGUGAUCUAAACCUGUCCAGGAUGAAGCUGUGGUAAGACACAGUGGAGGUCCUAACCCACCGCCGUUGAAAAGUUGGGGGAUGAGGUAGGUUUAGGGGUGAAAAGCCAAUCGAACCAGGAGAUAGCUCGUUCUCUCCGAAAUGCAUCUAGGUGCAGCCUUGAGUGUUCAAUUAUGGGGGUAGAGCACUGAAUGAUCUAGGGGGCGUAUUGCUUACUGAAAUCAAUCAAACUCCGAAUACCAUAAUUUAGAGCUCAGGAGUGAGACUAUGGGAGUUAACUUCCAUUGUCGAAAGGGAAACAACCCAGACCACCAGCUAAGGUCCCUAAUUAUAACUAAGUGGGAAAGGAGGUGGAGAUUCACAAACAACUAGGAGGUUGGCUUAGAAGCAGCCAUACCUUUAAAGAGUGCGUAAUAGCUCACUAGUCGAGAGUCUCUGCGCCGACAAUGUAACGGGGCUAAGUUAUAAACCGAAGCUGUGGAAUCCGUAAGGAUUGGUAGGAGAGCGUUCUGUAGGCCGUUGAAGGAGAAGGGUAACCGACUCUGGAGGUAUCAGAAGUGAGAAUGCAGGAAUAAGUAGCGAGAAAGGGGGCGAGAAUCCCCCUCGCCGGAAGACCAAGGUUUUCAGGGUAAAGCUUGUCUUCCCUGAGUAAGCCGGGACCUAAGCCCAGGCUAUAAUGCGUAGGCGAAUGGAAAACAGAUUAAUAUUUCUGUGCCAGUCAUAUAUUGUGAUGGAGGGACGCAGAAGGGUAUGCGCGCGGACGAACGGAAGUGUCCGUAGAAGUAUGUAGGAUGACUUGAUAGGAAAAUCCAUUGAGUUAUAUCUGAGGUAUGAUAUACAGUCGUAAGAUGAAUGUGCAAAUCCCACGCUGCCAAGAAAAGCUUCUAACGUUAAUAUUUGACUGCCCGUACUGCAAACCGACACAGGUGGUCAGGAUGAGAAAUCUAAGGCGGACAGGCUAACUCUCGUUAAGGAACUCUGCAAAAUAACCUCGUAACUUCGGGAGAAGAGGAGCCCUUGAGGGUCAGUAUCCACGCGAUACAAAGCGCUCGAGGGUCGCAGUGAAGAGGCUCAAGCAACUGUUUAACAAAAACACAGGUCUAUGCUAAGCUGGAAGGCGAUGUAUAUGGGCUGACACCUGCCCAGUGCUGGAAGGUUAAGAGGAGGAGUGAGAGCUCCGAAUUGAAGCCCCAGUGAACGGCGGCCGUAACUAUAACGGUCCUAAGGUAGCGAAAUUCCUUGUCGGGUAAGUUCCGACC
This 1987-nucleotide ribosomal RNA is filed under the name human metagenome. Its description in RNAcentral is "bacterial LSU rRNA". It matches the Rfam family "Bacterial large subunit ribosomal RNA", at positions 1 to 1988 of the family's 2925-position model. The record is from RNAcentral.